UGUUUGGGGAGGGGAGUGGUCAGCAGCCAGAGAGACCUCACAAAGAUCUGCCAGCAAGGUAGACGAAGAGGGAUUGGAGCUUGCGGUUUGUCGGCACGGAGUGCUGCUCUGUGCUUUAAAUAUGUACAGGGGUGAAAUUUUUGCCUAUCCCCCCUACCUUCAAGAAAAGCUGGCCAGUAGGCAAGUCACUUUUUUUGUAUGGAUGUGACCUGCAAAUAUUGGCCCUACCUGCAAAGAGCUGCAAAAAGCUGUCCAGAGCUCCAGCACCUUCUUAACAUGAAGCCAUUCCUUUCAGUAUUUCGUGCCAAAGCCCAUGAUUUUAAAUGUGAGGUGAAAUGGAAUGGGGCAUAUCAGGAUAGGGCUGGAUUAACGCUAGGGGAGGAGGUGGAACAGUGCAAUGCCUUCCUCUCUAGGAUUGCAGUGACGACAAAACACAUGUCAAAAGCAGAUAAGAUGACCACAUACUGCUCUAGUUACAUAAUCACGUAAUAACAUCAUAUUUUAUACAUCAUAUGGUAACAUCAUAUAUUCUGUGUUUGCAGGACGCACAGACAUGCUGACUCUCAUGGCCAUGCGCUGGAAUCAGCAAAAGUUCAACAAUUUGGCAAUUUCACUGACUCGCCGAUGUCAGAAAGUAAUGACAUCAGUAGAAUUUGUUUUAGAUGCAGCAACAGUAACAACAACCACAAAUGAUGCUGAUGCCUUGGCCAGCAGAAUUGAGGUCCUGGUAGCGAGUAUCAAGAGAUGUUCCCAGCGUCUCUAUAAAGAUACCGAUGAGAACAAAGGUCAUGCCAGAAUCCGCAGCAAGAUCAGGGAGGAGAAGGAGAUCCUGACAUCUGUUGUGGAGAAAUACAACAGAAUGGUUCCAAGCACAGAAUGUCUUUGCUUGGAAACCAUUCUGUCUGGUGAGACAGCUUGGCCAUGGCAGCUACCACACACUGACUCUGUCGAUCUAAGGACAAAGAGAAGAGUGUUUGACAUCAUCAUGUCAGUAAGGAGACUUGAGGAGGAGCAGAAGAUUCUUGUUGCAGAGAUGGACCACCACUGGAAAUCUCUUUCAACUCGUGCUGAUACCCUCAGAGAGCUGUCCCGCAUGUUUGCCAGUGAGACAAUGAGAAAUUCACCUUGUGGCCUAAGUGAAGAGGGUUUGAAAGUUCUACAGAGCAACAUCCUCAGAAAGCAACAUAAAGUCAGAGAAAUGAAGGUGCAAGCAAGAGACUGUUAUCUGCAAGUUUUGUCUGGAGAAGGGAACAUCAACUUUUUGUACAGUGCUUCAGCUGAUGAGUACGACAGUGACUGUGAAAUGUCUGAUGACGGACUGUAAUCCACAAGACUGUGACACCUUUCAUCGUUCUGGACAAUGACCUUAACUCUGGAUACAAAGAAUGUAAUAAAAUCUGCUUUUCAUCACCUUUAUAAAUGGAACCAAAAGUGAACCUCUUCUUUCACAUACAUAGAAAUGUGUGCAUGCAUGCCUCUAGAACCAGUCUGUGGUGGAAAUUAAGUGCAUUCAUUAAAGUAUUGUAUGGUACUUAGAGAUUUUAGGUAUGAUUUGUUUCUUCUCAUCCAAAUUUUUACUUAUACUCCACUGCAAUUCAGAGAGAAAAAAAUGCAUUUGACAGCACAUGGAGAGCUUAUAAAAUGACAUUUUGUUGCAAAAGUAACCUCUCAACAGUACAAUUAGUUGAUUGGCAGAAAAUGAAUUGCCAAAUAAUUUUCAUGCGAAAACAUUUAAUGGUUCCAGCAUGUAUUUUUUAUAUAUAUAAUUUUUGAGGUUUGAAUUGUUCACAGCUUUUAUCAAUGUAUCUUUUUGGGUCGUGUGUAAUUGUGUCUGCAUUUCUCACUAUUUUCAUACUUUCUUACAAACCAAACAAUCUCUUCAUUUGUUGAGAAAUAAAUAGCAGAUUAAUUUAUUAUGAAAAUAGUCAUUAGUCUAGGUUGUGUACAAAAUAAUUAAUAAUAAUCUUGCAUGAGUAAUAAUAAUCUAAGGUUAUAUGAUUCACAGGGGAAAAUGAAAUGUUAGAACUUCAGCUGGUGGCUGUGAAAGUGUAGAGUGUACUUUAACUGUAGGGUGUUAUAUAACAACUGAAACCUGUUUAGAGACAGAAGAAGCAAAUUAUGAGGAAGAAAACCAUUAUGAUAAGGAGGAAUUAUUAUUUCCCAAUAUGAUAUUACAUCUGCUUAUGUGUCAUCUAGUAAAAGUAUUGGAGUCAACUGAUUUGAUUCUGUGGUGCUCAAAAUAUUUCACCGCUUGUGUAGCUUCAUCAGCUGUGACCUGAUAAACAGCAUGAUGAUAGCAAUUUUGAAGUCCCUUUUUAUUUCUAUUGAAUCCCUUUUGUCUUUAUACUAUUUUAUAAAGUAUCUUUAUACUAUUUUGUAGUCUACAAUAAAA
Molecule: long non-coding RNA, 2392 nt
Organism: Ctenopharyngodon idella (grass carp)
Lineage: Eukaryota; Metazoa; Chordata; Actinopteri; Cypriniformes; Xenocyprididae
Exons: 5
Source: RefSeq, a predicted model, not a curated record